UACGGAAGGCAGCAGUGGGGAAUAUUGCACAAUGGGCGCAAGCCUGAUGCAGCCAUGCCGCGUGUAUGAAAAAGGCCUUCGGGUUGUAAAGUACUUUCAGUCGUGAGGAAGGUGUUAAGGUUAAUAACCUUAGCAAUUGACGUUAGCGACAGAAGAAGCACCGGCUAACUCCGUGCCAGCAGCCGCGGUAAUACGGAGGGUGCGAGCGUUAAUCGGAAUUACUGGGCUAAAGGGCACGCAGGCGGUUAAUUAAGUUGGAUGUGAAUCCCCGGGCUUAACCUGGGAAUGGCAUUCAAGACUGGUUAGCUAGAGUCUUGUAGAGGGGGUAGAAUUCCAUGUGUAGCGGUGAAAUGCGUAGAGAUGUGGAGGAAUACCGGUGGCGAAGGCGGCCCCUGGACAAAGACUGACGCUCAUGUGCGAAAGCGUGGGGAGCAAACAGGGAUUAGAUACC
RNAcentral lists this ribosomal RNA (451 nucleotides) under uncultured bacterium. Its description in RNAcentral is "bacterial SSU rRNA". It matches the Rfam family "Bacterial small subunit ribosomal RNA", at positions 340 to 786 of the family's 1533-position model. The record is from RNAcentral.